ACGGAAGGCAGCAGUGGGGAAUAUUGGGCAAUGGGGGAAACCCUGAUGCAGCGACGCCGCGUGAGUGAAGAAGUAUUUCGGUAUGUAAAGCUCUAUCAGUAGGGAAGAAAACAAUGACGGUACCUAACUAAGAAGCCCCGGCUAACUACGUGCCAGCAGCCGCGGUAAUACGUAGGGGGCAAGCGUUAUCCGGAUUUACUGGGUGUAAAGGGAGCGUAGACGGCGAGGCAAGUCUGAAGUGAAAGCCCGGGGCUCAACUCCGGGACUGCUUUGGAAACUGUUUUGCUAGAGUGCAGGAGAGGUAAGUGGAAUUCCUAGUGUAGCGGUGAAAUGCGUAGAUAUUAGGAGGAACACCAGUGGCGAAGGCGGCUUACUGGACUGUAACUGACGUUGAGGCUCGAAAGCGUGGGGAGCAAACAGGAUUAGAUACCCUGGUA
RNAcentral lists this ribosomal RNA (437 nucleotides) under uncultured Lachnospiraceae bacterium. RNAcentral's name for it is "bacterial SSU rRNA". It matches the Rfam family "Bacterial small subunit ribosomal RNA", at positions 341 to 792 of the family's 1533-position model. Lineage: Bacteria; Bacillati; Bacillota; Clostridia; Lachnospirales; Lachnospiraceae. The record is from RNAcentral.